This 210-nucleotide transfer-messenger RNA is filed under the name Bradyrhizobium japonicum. RNAcentral's name for it is "transfer-messenger RNA Brady_japon". It matches the Rfam family "Alphaproteobacteria transfer-messenger RNA", at positions 148 to 355 of the family's 355-position model. From Rfam's summary of the family: Bacterial tmRNA, also known as 10Sa RNA or SsrA, is named for its dual tRNA and mRNA-like properties. The record is from RNAcentral. Lineage: Bacteria; Pseudomonadati; Pseudomonadota; Alphaproteobacteria; Hyphomicrobiales; Nitrobacteraceae. RNAcentral also lists the same sequence under 5 other names.
GGGGGCGAAAUAGGAUCGACGAGGGCGUAAAGGGCGUGCUUUUUCCCGGUAUUGUUCCGCCGUUAUCGGGCUACUGCAAUAGUUGCCAACGACAACUUUGCUCCGGUUGCUCAGGCUGCGUAACGCAGUUUGAAAGACCAUCUUAAAGUCCUAACGGGUUAAGCUCCGUUAGGCGGGGUUCGGAGGCACCUGGCAACAGAAGCCUCCACU